CCUACGGGAGGCAGCAGUGGGGAAUAUUGGACAAUGGGGGAAACCCUGAUCCAGCGACGCCGCGUGAGUGAAGAAGUAUUUCGGUACGUAAAGCUCUAUCAGCAGGAAAGAAAAUGAUGGUACCUGACUAAGAAGCCCCGGCUAACUACGUGCCAGCAGCCGCGGUAAUACGUAGGGGGCAAGCGUUAGCCGGAUUUACUGGGUGUAAAGGGAGCGUAGACGGCAGCGCAAGUCUGGAGUGAAAUGCCGGGGCGCAACCCCGGAACUGCACGGGAAACUGUGAAGCUGGAGUGCAGGAGAGGGAAGCGGAAUUCCAGGUGUAGCGGUGAAAUGCGUAGAUAUCAGGAGGAACACCGGCGGCGAAGGCGGCUUACUGGACUGUAACUGACGUUGAGGCGCGAAGGCGUGGGGAGCAAACAGGAUUAGAUACCCCAGUAGUC
This 440-nucleotide ribosomal RNA is filed under the name uncultured bacterium. RNAcentral describes it as "partial 16S ribosomal RNA". It matches the Rfam family "Bacterial small subunit ribosomal RNA", at positions 338 to 795 of the family's 1533-position model. The record is from RNAcentral.